GUUUGAAUAGUGUGAAAGCCCUGCUGUAUGUUUUGUUUGUAUUGUGUGAAAGUGCCAACUGAGACAAUGUCCUGCUAUGCUGCAUGAUGACGUCUAGUCCAGUAUGAGUUGUUGAAAUGUUGGAGUGAUGGUGGCUGUGGGUGCUGCUGACGGGAGUGCUUGAUGAAACUCCUGAAAUUUAAAGCGAGACAAACUGUCAGCAGCUGUGUUAUAUAUACCUGGCACAUGGAAACAACAUAGGAAGAAAUUAUGACAAGCUGCCAACCAAGUGAGUUUCCUCAGAAAUCUCAUAAUCGUAAGAGAUUUGGAACGACCUUUGUUGAUGAUGUGACAGGUUGCCUGGUUGUCUGAGUAACAACGCACUGGCGUAUUAGCC
Non-coding RNA from Pelobates cultripes (western spadefoot toad), 376 nucleotides. NCBI's taxonomy places the organism in Eukaryota, Metazoa, Chordata, Amphibia, Anura, Pelobatidae. The record is from the annotation of a GenBank genome assembly.